CCCAAAUUUCACCCUAUUCCCUAUAUAGGGUCAUACAAUGAUGCCGGUUGUGUGAAGGGCAUGUUCUUAUGCCUCUAAUUACUGACUCUGUACCUGAGAACCUGAUUUGAUAACAGCUGCAGGGCCCAUGAUGCCUGUGGAUAUGUGGACACCGUGAAGGAGCUCCUAGGCCAGGGGGCUGACCCCAACCUGAAAGACGACGCUGGAUGGACCCCACUGGGAUUCAUUGAGUUGGGGAAUACAACAAAAACAGCUGAAUAUCAUUCUACAGGACUGUUAUGGUUCAGUGAGAAACAUGACUGGCGACGGAGUCACUCAGAGCUGGUUUGAACCGACAUGUCAACGACCCCCCCCCCCCUCAAUUUGGCAUGUAAUAUACAGAAGGACACCAAAUUCACAACGAGCAACAAUGUGUUUGUAGGCGUAAUUAAAACGUUGAGGAAAGAGUGGCGCGACAAAACUGCCCAUCACGCAGCUAUAACUGAAGUUUGAACACGGCAUGCAGCUCAUCAAACAAUCCAAGGCUCUGGACACUGAAACAUCUGAGGGUUUGGUGAACAAAGUGUGGUUUGAUGUUCAACUUAAUUUUGGGCGAAGGGGAAGGAGAGAGAAGAUUUUCUUAAAACUGACUGAUUUAAAAUAUGUACAGACACAGUUUUUACAUGAAUGUAAUGUACGUUUGCCUGUGGUUAUGUUUCACAGCAGCCAGUCUGGCAACAACUUUUGUCCGGACGACUUUUUCUGCCGGAAUGUAUUUAUGAAUUUAUUUAUUAAAGCUAAAUGUU
Molecule: long non-coding RNA, 785 nt
Organism: Oncorhynchus gorbuscha (pink salmon)
Lineage: Eukaryota; Metazoa; Chordata; Actinopteri; Salmoniformes; Salmonidae
Exons: 3
Source: RefSeq, a predicted model, not a curated record